This 212-nucleotide long non-coding RNA is filed under the name Ricinus communis (castor bean). RNAcentral's name for it is "long non-coding RNA (RCOM_LNC001939)". The record is from RNAcentral. Lineage: Eukaryota; Viridiplantae; Streptophyta; Magnoliopsida; Malpighiales; Euphorbiaceae.
AACCACCCUCGUGCCUAAAUUUCGUGAUCGCGCUUGUCAACGGCUGCUCAGAAGCGCCCUCACACUUUUCGUUGCGUAACUGCCUGCCAUGUUAACCUUUUAUCUCCAACUAAUCCACCCUCGUGCUUUUGAAGUGCCCUCACGCUUCUGAAGGAGUUGACUCACUGACUGCUAGGUGUCUUUCCAUCCUUGGGCAUUUGCUAGAGGGUCUU